This 262-nucleotide ribosomal RNA is filed under the name uncultured bacterium. RNAcentral describes it as "partial 16S ribosomal RNA". It matches the Rfam family "Bacterial small subunit ribosomal RNA", at positions 1092 to 1373 of the family's 1533-position model. The record is from RNAcentral.
ACGAGCGCACCCCUGGGUCUAGUUACAGUGUCUAAAGCGACAGCCUGCGACAGUGGGACGAAGGUGGGGAUGACGUCAGGUCAGAUGGCCUUUACAUCUAGGGCUACACACACGCUACAAUGGCGCGCACAAUGGUAAGCAAGACCGCGAGGUGGAGCAAAUCCUGAAAGCGCGUCUUACUUCAAAUUGCACGCUGCAACUCUCCUGCAUGAAACUGGAAUUGCUAGAAAACGCAAGUCAGCACACUGCGUUAAAUACGUUC